This 468-nucleotide ribosomal RNA is filed under the name uncultured bacterium. Its description in RNAcentral is "partial 16S ribosomal RNA". It matches the Rfam family "Bacterial small subunit ribosomal RNA", at positions 28 to 507 of the family's 1533-position model. The record is from RNAcentral.
GACGAACGCUGGCGGCGUGCUUAACACAUGCAAGUCGAACGGAAAGGCCCUGCUUUUGUGGGGUGCUCGAGUGGCGAACGGGUGAGUAACACGUGAGUAACCUGCCCUUGACUUUGGGAUAACUUCAGGAAACUGGGGCUAAUACCGGAUAGGAGCUCCUGCUGCAUGGUGGGGGUUGGAAAGUUUCGGCGGCUGGGGAUGGACUCGCGGCUUAUCAGCUUGUUGGUGGGGUAGUGGCUUACCAAGGCUUUGACGGGUAGCCGGCCUGAGAGGGUGACCGGCCAAAUUGGGACUGAGAUACGGCCCAGACUCCUACGGGAGGCAGCAGUGGGGAAUAUUGCACAAUGGGCGGAAGCCUGAUGCAGCAACGCCGCGUGCGGGAUGACGGCCUUCGGGUUGUAAACCGCUUUCGCCUGUGACGAAGCGUGAGUGACGGUAAUGGGUAAAGAAGCACCGGCUAACUACGUG